This 3369-nucleotide ribosomal RNA is filed under the name Drosophila virilis. RNAcentral describes it as "eukaryotic LSU rRNA". The stretch from base 2184 to 3369 matches the Rfam family "Eukaryotic large subunit ribosomal RNA", at positions 1891 to 3320 of the family's 3401-position model. Lineage: Eukaryota; Metazoa; Arthropoda; Insecta; Diptera; Drosophilidae. The record is from RNAcentral.
AGGAAGUCACCUGGUAUGGAUGGAUUCACUGGAGAAAUGUGUAAAAGUGUCUGGAAGUCAAUUCCAGAGUAUAUGAAUGCGAUGUAUGCGAAGUGUCUGAAUGAGGGUUAUUUCCCCAGUGAAUGGAAGUGUGCGAGAGUGAUAGUGCUCCUGAAGUCGCCUGACAGGAUCAGGAGCAAUCCUAGAUCUUUUCGGGGCAUCAGUCUUCUUCCGGUUCUUGGAAAAGUUCUGGAAAGGAUUAUGGUAGAAAGGCUUCAGGAGAGAAUGAGUGACCAAAUGUCUGACAGACAAUUCGGUUUUAGGCAGGGCAGAUGUGUUGAGGAUGCGUGGAGGUAUGUUAGUGACUCUGUUGAGGCUAGCAGCUCCACGUAUGUCUUGGGCAUCUUUGUUGAUUUUAAAGGUGCUUUCGACUACCUGAGUUGGGCGAGUGUUAUGAGAAAGUUGGAUGAAUGCGGGUGCCGAGAAUUAGCUCUCUGGAAGAGCCAUUUCUCUGGCAGACGUCCGUGUGCUGUAGGGCGGUGUGAAUGUGUGAGCGUAAAUGUUGUUCGUGGCUGUCCGCAGGGAUCUAUCUGUGGCCCAUUCAUUUGGAACCUCAUGAUGGACCCCUUGCUGGUGCAGCUUGAGCAGAUGUAUAAAUGUUGUGCGUAUGCGGACGAUCUGCUCAUCUUGAUUGAGGGUCGGUCGCGUCUUGAGAUCGAGACGAAUGCGAGCAUGUGCUUGCGCACUGUGUAUGAGUGGGGUGAAAGUGUUGGGGUCAGUCUUGCAAUGGACAAGACAGUGUCAAAGCUGCUCAAGGGCAGAUUGGCAACUAGUCGGCCACCCAUUGUCAGACUGAAUGGAGUGAAUGUGAGGUAUGCGUCUGAGGUGAAAUACCUCGGCAUAACCUUUGGCGAGAGGAUGUGUUUCACUCCUCAUAUCGCUGGUCUCAAGGCCCGGCUACUUGGUUUGGUGGGGCAAGUGCGUCGUAUUUUGAGGUCUGACUGGUCUAUGAGGGUCUGUUUGUUGCAUGUGCAGCAUAUGGAUCGUCUGUAUGGUGCAAGGCGGUCACGACUGUGGUCGGCUGAAAGAAAGUGCUGGCUUGCCAGAGAGUGCUUCUGUUAGGUUGUUUGCCUCGGUGCCGCACUGUCUCUACGGAGGCAAUGCAGGUACUGUUAGGAGUAGCCCCUCUUGACUUGGAGAUCAGGCGUCGAGCCUUGAUGUACAGGAUCAAGAGGCGGCUGCCAUUGCUGCAGAAUGAUUGGCUAGCGGGUAGGGAUGUGGAGAGUUUAGGGCUUAGUGAAUGCAAGAGAUUAGUGAAAGAGUGUGUUUUGUCUGACUGGCAAGUCAGAUGGGACACUAGCGUGAAUGGGCGUGUCACUCAUUGGUUUAUACGGGAGGUUACAUUUGCCGGCAGCCGACCAGACUUUGGGUUCGGCCUGAAUCUUGGAUUCCUGUUGACUGGUCACGGUUCCCUCAAUGCAUUCCUGCAUUCGAGGAACCUUUAUGACAGUCCAGAAUGCCGUUGUGGCUCGGCUGCUGAGACAUGGGAGCAUGUUCUCUGUGAGUGCACAAGGUAUGCAGAUCUUCGAGAUCUGAGGGGGAUGGGUAUAAGUGAGGUUAGUGGCGGGUUUGACGUAAGUCAAUCACUCUCCACUAGUGAUAGGGUUAGAAGAAUGAGUGAGUUUUCUAGAGCUGCAUUUUCCAGGCGACGUUUGCAAUUGCAGGAAGGAAUUGUAUGAAUGAUGAUGGAUGGUAGAUGUGGGAAUGUGGGGGUACGAAUGUGGGGGUGUGUCUGAAUGGUAAUUUUUGUUGAACAUUGUGUUGUGUUGGGGCUACCAACCCUUCACUGUUUUGGAGUUUAAAUUGGAAGUGCCCUUCUGGUACGAGGCCUGACCGGAGGCUUUUAAUCUGGUACCACGGGUAACCAGGAGGCCACGGAACUUUUUCCGUCAUGGUUAGUUGGUGCGGCCCUUCGGGGAGUAUCGUGUUGGUUGUGGUUUAACACCCAAAUGCGGGUAGAGCAUCGCUCGACGUGGAGUUGCGUCAUACAACCGGGUUCCGUGACCCACAUUACGGAAGAGGCUUAGGUAGUCCUCUUGCCAAACCAAGGUAGAAGUCACAACCAAACAGUCGUGUCUUUAAUUGGUACCUGCGGAAUUGAUGUUCCAAGGAGGCGGUGAUUGACGCUUGAAUUAAUCCUAUACUAGGAACCGUGAGAUUAAGCCAUCGCGGCAGGUGCUCACGUUAAGCCCACUGACUUUCAUGUCCCUAUCUACUAUCUAGCGAAACCACAGCCAAGGAAACGGGCUUGGAAUAAUUAGCGGGGAAAGAAGACCCUUUUGAGCUUGACUCUAAUCUGGUAGUGUAAGGAGGCAAAAGAGGUGUAGAAUAAGCGGGAGAUAUUAGACUUCGGUUUGGUAUCGGCAAUGAAAUACCACUACUCUUAUUGUUUCCUCACUUACUUUAUUAAAUGGAACGUGUAUCAUUUCCUAGCCAUUAUACGGAUAUAAUUUUUAUGUCAUAUGGUAUUGGGUUUUGAUGCAAGCUUCUUGAUCAAAGUAUCACGAGUUUGUUAUAUAAUCGCAAACAAAUUCUUUAAUGAGAGAAUGCAUUUAUGUAUUAGUGAUUUAAAAAUUUGGUAUAACUCCAAUUACUCAGGUAUGAUCCAAUUCAAGGACACUGCCAGGUAGGAUAUUUGACUGGGGCGGUACAUCUCUCAAAUAAUAACGGAGGUGUCCCAAGGCCAGCUCAGUGCGGACAGAAACCACACAUAGGGCAAAUGCUGACUUGAUCUCGGUGUUCAGUACACACAGGGACAGAAAAAGCUCGGCCUAUCGAUCCUUUUGGUUUAAAGAGUUUUUAACAAGAGGUGUCAGAAAAGUUACCAUAGGGAUAACUGGCUUGUGGCGGCCAAGCGUUCAUAGCGACGUCGCUUUUGAUCCUUCGAUGUCGGCUCUUCCUAUCAUUGUGACGCAAAAUUCACCAAGCGUUGGAUUGUUCACCCAUGCAAGGGAACGUGAGCUGGGUUUAGACCGUCGUGAGACAGGUUAGUUUUACCCUACUAAUGACAAAACGUUGUUGCGACAGCAUUCCUGCGUAGUACGAGAGGAACCGCAGGUACGGACCAAUGGCACAAUACUUGUUCGAGCGAACAGUGGUAUGACGCUACGUCCGUUGGAUUAUGCCUGAACGCCUCUAAGGUCGUAUCCAUGCUGGACUGCAAUGAUAAAUAAGGGGCAAUUUGCAUUGUAUGGCUUCUAAACCAUAAAAAGUUUUUAAUUUGUUUUAUUAACGACAAUGGAUGUGAUGCCAAUGUUAUUAAUAACAUAGUAAAUUUGGAGGAUCUUCGAUCACCUGAUGCCGCGCUAGUUAUAUUUUAAAACAUUAUUU